Long non-coding RNA from Oncorhynchus tshawytscha (Chinook salmon), 1372 nucleotides. The record is from Ensembl. Lineage: Eukaryota; Metazoa; Chordata; Actinopteri; Salmoniformes; Salmonidae.
AAAAGAGUGAUUCUGGUGAAUAUGUCUUAGAAAUCUAUUAUUCAAAUGGAACACAUUUGAGCACAGGAGGAGUACAACUGAUAAUUGGAGCUUAUCAUGCAGGAGAAUCUUAUGGGACUGUCAUAGGCUCACUAGUAGCUGUGGUCCUGGUCCUAACCGUGGUGGUGGGACCUUACUGUAUUCACAAGAGGAGGACACCUUCACAGAUUCCAGGUCAGUCGUGUGACAGAUCUAAAAAACAAAGAGUACUAUGUACAGUACACCGAUUGAUACCACAUUCAGUCAGCUCAUGUGACUGUUGUUUCAGUGUUAUUGCUCACUUUAGAACUUUUUAUGUGGGCUUUUCUACUUCACAUAGUGUUGGCCUAGAUACGUUUCAAUAGGGCUAUUUCCAGAUCUACAGAUAGGCCAAGUGCAUGUGAACUAUGUGAAUCUAUGUGAAUCAACAUUAAUGCUUAAUGCCCCAAUGCAGCUGUUUUUAUAUCAAUAUCAAAUCAUUUCUGGGUAACAAUUAAGUACCUUACUCUAAUAGAUUGCUAUUCAAAUGGGCAAAAAUAGCAUUUUAGCAAACAUUUUCCUAGGUCUGUCUGGGACUGGUCUAAGUGGGAAGUGGACAACUGAAAACUAGCUGUUAUUGGCAGAGAGGAUUGGAAGUCUUUUGUUAUUGGUCUAUUAACUAAUUUACCACAUGGUGAGGUCACCAUGGAAAGCCGAAACUCCUUCCCAAGCAAACCUGCAGAAUAGAAGGUCAUGUGCAGAUUGUAUUGUCAACCAACAACUAUCAGGAAAUUAUGUUGUCAUACUUUUACAGUGUUAUAUUCAUCAGCUGUUGUACAAUAUGAUAUAAAACACAGCAAACACAUUAUUUGGACUGCACUGGGCCAUUAAGUAGGCUUUUGACCCUCAAAGUGUAAUUGUCUACAAAUGAUCUGUGCAGUAGUCAAUUCCCCUCCAAACACUCAUGUCACAUCUCCCGAGUCCCCACAGAUGCUGAUGAGAGUCCAGAACUGGAAUAUGCUGACAUCAAUAUUCUAAAGAAGAUGGAGAAACACAGGGAGGUUCCAGAGGAUGUGGAGUAUGGACAGGUUGUAGUAUUGAAGGGUUCCAGACCAACCACAGAGAGAGACAGACCUGAGGGGCGGGAGGAGACUGUGUAUGCUGGAAUACAGCUUGACCAAUGAGAGAGAUUCUUGUGAAGGGUUGAUAUUUAGACAGAACAUUAAAGCUCUGUUGCUUCUUUUGUUACUGUAACUAUUAGUAUCUAACGGUCCCAUAUUUCUGUACACAUUUACAUGAAAUGUAAAUGAACAACCCAACAACUAAACUGUAUACACUGGCCGUAGAGAGUCCUUCUGUUAUUGAUUGAACAUGU